UAUUGGUCAAUGGGCGCGAGCCUGAACCAGCCAAGUCGCGUGAGGGAGGACGGCCCUACGGGUUGUAAACCUCUUUUGCCGGGGAGCAACGGGCGUCACGUGUGGCGCCACUGAGAGUACCCGGAGAAAAAGCAUCGGCUAACUCCGUGCCAGCAGCCGCGGUAAUACGGAGGAUGCGAGCGUUAUCCGGAUUUAUUGGGUUUAAAGGGUGCGAAGGCGGUCUGUUAAGUCAGCGGUCAAAGCCCGGGGCUCAACCCCGGCCCGCCGUUGAAACUGGCAGUCUCGAGUUGGAGAGAAGUAUGCGGAAUGCGCGGUGUAGCGGUGAAAUGCAUAGAUAUCGCGCAGAACUCCGAUUGCGAAGGCAGCAUGCCGGCUCCACACUGACGCUGAGGCACGAAAGCGUGGGUAUCG
RNAcentral lists this ribosomal RNA (411 nucleotides) under uncultured bacterium. Its description in RNAcentral is "bacterial SSU rRNA". It matches the Rfam family "Bacterial small subunit ribosomal RNA", at positions 362 to 770 of the family's 1533-position model. The record is from RNAcentral.